Molecule: ribosomal RNA, 253 nt
Filed under: uncultured bacterium
Lineage: Bacteria
Description: partial 16S ribosomal RNA
Rfam family: Bacterial small subunit ribosomal RNA
Source: RNAcentral
UACGUAGGGGGCGAGUGUUGUCCGGAUUUAUUGGGCGUAAAGAGCUUGUAGGCGGUUUGUCGCGUCUGCCGUGAAAAUCCGGGGCUCAACCCCGGACUUGCGGUGGGUACGGGCAGACUAGAGUGUGGUAGGGGAGACUGGAAUUCCUGGUGUAGCGGUGAAAUGCGCAGAUAUCAGGAGGAACACCGAUGGCGAAGGCAGGUCUCUGGGCCACUACUGACGCUGAGAAGCGAAAGCGUGGGGAGCGAACAGG